AGCUUGACUUCAAGGAUUGUCUAAUACGUUGGACCUAUGGCAAUGACUUCACAGUACUUCAUGGAGGGGAAGAAAUCAUUCCUAGCUGGGAAAAUACAAGAAUAUUCAUAAACUACAGAGUUGAUUAUGGAUGCCAACUGUGGCAACUCUGGGGACUGAACAACUUCAAAUUUGCUCUUCAGGCUUAUCCAGUAAGUGCUUCCAGUUUAUAUUUCUUAUUCCCCAGUGAGAUAAUGUGGUGGACUCCCUUGUAGACCACACUUGAGAUUGGAAGCCAGACCUGUGGUGUCAGAAGUAUGAAUGGAAUAUCCUUGAGGUAAUCUAGAUCUGUCAAAGUUGUGCAGUGACUCUUUUCAUGUGUUGGCCCAACUACUUGAAAUACAAGUGAGACUGCAUAUUCUCUUUUCUCGUUUAAUUUCUUCAAGCUACAUGGAUCCUGCCAGGCCAAAUGUCAAUUUAUUGCAAUGGGUAACUGCUGGUCUCAUUGGAAAUGCAUAUAUUACAGCAUCUUCCAAUGUGACCAUGUCUUGACUCUAGUGACUGGAGCUGCAAGUCGAGAUUCUGUCAAUCUCCAAUAUAAUGCUGAAGGUUUUGUAGCAUUUGUCUCUGAAUCUUUGUAAGAAAACGAAUGUGGUGACUCUGAAUACUUUUACACUUUUUUUUUUUUUUACUUGGACAAAAAAAUUGGUUACAAGGCUGGGCUGCAACAAAUUAAAUGAAGGCAGGAAAUAUGACAUCACCUUCUCUGUCCCCUCUCUACUCCCCCCGUUUUAACUCCAAUGUACUUCAUACCUAACCAUACACUAUUUGCACUUAGGUUGAAUUCUUGAAAUAUCAUACUCCUGAAGAACAAGAGGUGGUGCAAGAGAUCUUUGAAGUCUUCAAUAAGACCGAAGAGCUGGAAAUGUAGUGUGGUACACCAAGCACUGCGUGGCUGGAGCGUCUUUGUGGAAGAUUCCAUUUUAAGCAUAGCAAUUUCAUUUUAAUACAUCUGCUUUUACUAAGUUCUGAUUUACAUUAUUUUGGAAAGAAAAUUGCAGACAUGUGUAACUUUAUAUUUUGCCUCUUAUGGGCCAGGCAGAUGGUGUGUAGAGUAAAGCAUGUGCAGA
Molecule: non-coding RNA, 1109 nt
Organism: Pelobates cultripes (western spadefoot toad)
Lineage: Eukaryota; Metazoa; Chordata; Amphibia; Anura; Pelobatidae
Source: the annotation of a GenBank genome assembly